CCUACGGGUGGCAGCAGUGAGGAAUAUUGGUCAAUGGGCGCGAGCCUGAACCAGCCACGUAGCGUGAAGGAUGACUGUCCUACGGGUUGUAACCUCCUUUUAUAAAGGAAUAAAGUGAGGCACGUGUGCCUUUUUGUAUGUACUUUAUGAAUAAGGAACGGCUAACUCCGUGCCAGCAGCCGCGGUAAUACGGUGGAUACGUGCGUUGUCCGGAUUUAUUGGGUUUAACGGGAGCGUAGAUGGGUUGUUAAGUUAGUUGUGAAAGUUUGCGGCUUAAACGUAAGAUUGCAAUUGAUACUGGCAGUCUUGAGUACAGUUGAGGUAGGCGGAAUUCGUGGUGUAGCGGUGAAAUGCUUAGAUAUCACGAAGAACUCCGAUUGCGAAGGCAGCUUACUAAACUGCCACUGACAUUGAUGCUCGAAAGUGUGGGUAUCAAACAGGAUUAGAUACCCUUGUAGUC
Molecule: ribosomal RNA, 460 nt
Filed under: uncultured bacterium
Lineage: Bacteria
Description: partial 16S ribosomal RNA
Rfam family: Bacterial small subunit ribosomal RNA
Source: RNAcentral